This 209-nucleotide long non-coding RNA is filed under the name Lupinus angustifolius (narrow-leaved blue lupine). Its description in RNAcentral is "long non-coding RNA (LANG_LNC003438)". The record is from RNAcentral. Lineage: Eukaryota; Viridiplantae; Streptophyta; Magnoliopsida; Fabales; Fabaceae.
UGAUCGAGCAACUAGUAGUCCUAUCUAUCCACCUCUGCAGACACAAUAUCUUGAGUACCUAUGAUGGUGACCUUUGGACAUAGAAUCGAGUCCUUGUGAAUGGACAAAGUCAGGCGCAUAGAUAGAUAAUAAGGGUAUCAAUUCAUAUGAUCAUGUCCUAUUCAGUGGAAUAACUAUAAAAUAGAAAUUAGCUUUUGGAGAGAUGGCUA